GGUGAACGCUGGCGGCGUGCCUAAUACAUGCAAGUCGAGCGAACGGACGAGAAGCUUGCUUCUCUGAUGUUAGCGGCGGACGGGUGAGUAACACGUGGAUAACCUACCUAUAAGACUGGGAUAACUUCGGGAAACCGGAGCUAAUACCGGAUAAUAUUUUGAACCGCAUGGUUCAAAAGUGAAAGACGGUCUUGCUGUCACUUAUAGAUGGAUCCGCGCUGCAUUAGCUAGUUGGUAAGGUAACGGCUUACCAAGGCAACGAUGCAUAGCCGACCUGAGAGGGUGAUCGGCCACACUGGAACUGAGACACGGUCCAGACUCCUACGGGAGGCAGCAGUAGGGAAUCUUCCGCAAUAGGCGAAAGCCUGACGGAGCAACGCCGCGUGAGUGAUGAAGGUCUUCGGAUCGUAAAACUCUGUUAUUAGGGAAGAACAUAUGUGUAAGUAACUGUGCACAUCUUGACGGUACCUAAUCAGAAAGCCACGGCUAACUACGUG
RNAcentral lists this ribosomal RNA (497 nucleotides) under uncultured bacterium. RNAcentral describes it as "partial 16S ribosomal RNA". It matches the Rfam family "Bacterial small subunit ribosomal RNA", at positions 28 to 507 of the family's 1533-position model. The record is from RNAcentral.